RNAcentral lists this long non-coding RNA (785 nucleotides) under Marmota monax (woodchuck). Lineage: Eukaryota; Metazoa; Chordata; Mammalia; Rodentia; Sciuridae. The record is from RNAcentral.
GUCCAUGCGAGCAGAACCCCACAGCCUGUCACCCUAUCGUCCUGGACAGCCCACUCGGGGAGGAAGGGAAGGGAAGUGACCGGGUCUCCAGGCUCUGUGUGGGACCCUUCUUAAUUUAGAAUUCCAGCUUAUGCGUUCAUUAGUUCUAUGGGAAAGAGGUGGAAGGAAACAGCGGAGGACCGAGUUUUCUCGGAUACACCCCAGACUGACUGGCUCCUUUUCUUUUUCCUUUAUCCCCCACGCUGCCCCUCCUUUCCCAUUUCAGUUUUACUCACCAUAACACACUUUGAUUUGUAAACAUAUCACAUGCCUGAGAGAGCUAAUGCAAAUAGCAUGCUACGUUUCUUCAGAGAAUUUAUUUACAAUAGCUUCAUAGAUAAAGAAAUUUGGAAAUUUAAUGAUCACAAAGUUAACACUAAUACUUACAUUUAAAUUAAGAGCUAAGAACGUUAGUGUUUAUUAUAAACUGAACAUUUAAUGGCACAUAGAAAAUGUAAUAUUCAAUUAAAACCUAAGUUGUCCUGGUUGGACAUAUUUAUUUCGAAGUCCAACACUGAAUGGCUGUUCACUUUUCUCUAUUGCCGAUUUGUCUGCUUCAGUAGGUUCUGGAUCUGGAAUUUCAAAUCUAAGAAGAAAACCAAAAGGAAAGGAAUUUGUUGAUACAUAAAUUAAAAAAAAUUAAAUACAACAGAGAAAACUAAUCAACUGAAGAUUCCAGUUUCCUAUCAUUUGAUAGAACAUACAAAUUCUAUAAAACCUUUUCUACAGUACUGCAUACAUAGAAC